AGGAGCGUGGGAAGACUCCAGAAUCCACUCUGGCUGGAAUCCGGUGGAUACAGCAGUGUUACAGAAGUUUCAUUUGUCAGUGUGGAUCUGCUGAGUCACCUGAAGAACUCAUUUCAUUCUCCACGAUGUUGAUUUACAGAAAUGUUUCACAGGAACUGAUUCCUCCCAAAGGGUACAGUACGUGAUAUUAAGGGCAGGCGGUCAUCACUGGGGGAAGACAAGAAGCAGACGUACUUCCAAGAGGGAGCUGCAGUGAGGACACAGCCUGGUCACUGAGGUCAGAGGAGGCGCUGAAAGGUUUCCCUAAUAGUUCCUGGUGAAUCAAAGCAGAACCAUAAAGGUUGCUGGACUGCAUGAUGGCCUUACCCCUGAGCAGUCAUCCUGUUAAAGGAGGAACCAGUUAGAAGCUGUUUUCAAAGUAGCUGAGCAGAUUUCAUCUCAACAGACAAAGCCGAUGGCAGAAGAUGUUUGGAGAAGAACUUCAGGCCGUGGACUGAAAAGUAGAUCAAAGCAGCUCGUGCUCUGUCUGCUUCCAUU
This is a long non-coding RNA of Oreochromis aureus, 537 nucleotides long. RefSeq lists it as uncharacterized. The transcript is spliced from 6 exons. NCBI's taxonomy places the organism in Eukaryota, Metazoa, Chordata, Actinopteri, Cichliformes, Cichlidae. The record is from RefSeq and is a predicted model, not a curated record.